CAUCCUGGUGGAAAGCAGCUUUAGACAGCAACAGAAAAGCAUUCACCUUUGAUCUGCAUGUUUCACUGCAAGAGAUGGGCUCUACACUUGAGGGACAAAGAAUCAACAAAAGCAUACCAACCUCCUACCGUGUGCCAACCACCGGGCUAGACACCAGAACCAUGAGGAUGAAUAAAAACCAAGCUCCCUGCAUCUUUUCUGUAUGGAAGAGGCCCUCAUUUGGACCAGUGCAGCAUCAGACUUGACCACGAAAAGCCAAGAUCAGAACGUGGAGGUGGAAGACAUCUCACCAAAAGCAUCCAAGAGUGAGUCCUUUAUAGAGUGGUAGAUUCCAAGGAACACCUGGAGCCUUGAACAAAAAGGUAUUACUCUGAAUGUUUUUCCCAAGAAAAGAAAUCAGACCAGUGAUAAAAUCAAGAAUGAUCAAACCUCAAAGGCAAAUGAGUUUUUCUCUGGUUUAAAGGUGCUUGUGUUAUUACCAGGAUAGCUUUUGGUUUAAGUGAUCUUGCUGCCAUAGAACUUUUUGUAAUGCAUCAAAAUUCAUAGGCUGUGAAGGCCAGGAAAAAAAGAGUAGGUGGCAGGGUUAUUACCUGACUUUCAAUUCAGUAAACAGAAUUCAUCCUUCUACAGAGUCAUUUAUACAAAAUACUGAAGGCGGCUUUAUGGUCCAAUGAGAUGGGAGUUUGAAUGACUUAAAUUAUUGGCUUUCAGACUGAAUGCACGUUUAUGAAUACGCUGACAUCCCCCUGCACUAAAUGAGGUGAUGUACAGCUAUUGUCCACAUACUUUCUGUCACCACCACUCUCUUCUCUGGCUUUGGCUUGUCCCCAGAGCAUCAGGAUGACAUUAAGUGACAACGGCUGUAGUAUUCCCACUACACAGGGAACCGCCCUUGCUGCUUUCAGUGGAUCCCUUCAGAAGGGCAAUUCACAAGAUGUUGGGCGGACGCAGGAGAAACGAGGGAGCUGGAAGGAUGAGCUCCCAAUGACCACGCAGAGGAUCGACUCCUCUGUCAAAUACCGCCAACUCUGUCACAACUACUGGACAGUUUCCCAGGUCCUGGGGAUGUGAAUGGGACCCAAAGGCGACCCUGGCACCUUGUGCCUCACCUCAUCUCCUUAUGACAUUCAAAUAAAUAGUAAUCAAAAGGCAAUUUACAUCUCUGCUGCAGCGUUUGCUAAAAAUGCUAAAGGAAAAAGACUGCCUUAGUGCACAGCAAAACUCAAAACUCCUCUCCCCGGGCUGUCUCUGUUCUCAUCAUUCCAUAGCCCCUAAGACUAGCGCAUAAAUCAACCCUAGCAGUCUUUCUGCUUUUUCUCAUUUCCCUAUUCUGUGUCAGCUCUCUGGCUUCUUCCAGUUUUCCUUUUCCACCAUCAUCCAGAUACUGUUUGAGAAAAGAGAAUAGUAAGCAAGGUGGGCCUGGGGCAGAAACAGAUGGCACAGAUUUACAACUUAUAUAUAUUUUUUUUAAGCUCUCAUAUAUUCUCCCUUCAAGGAGUGCCCAUUCUGAGCAUGGCUGUGUUUUAGAUAAACCAAGGGUAUAAAAUAUUAUGUUAUCACCUGUGUGUUAAU
Long non-coding RNA from Lutra lutra (Eurasian river otter), 1572 nucleotides. RefSeq lists it as uncharacterized. NCBI's taxonomy places the organism in Eukaryota, Metazoa, Chordata, Mammalia, Carnivora, Mustelidae. The transcript is spliced from 3 exons. The record is from RefSeq and is a predicted model, not a curated record.